RNAcentral lists this transfer RNA (74 nucleotides) under Anaerolineae bacterium. Its description in RNAcentral is "tRNA-Arg". It matches the Rfam family "tRNA". Rfam says of the family: Transfer RNA (tRNA) molecules are approximately 80 nucleotides in length. The record is from RNAcentral. Lineage: Bacteria; Bacillati; Chloroflexota; Anaerolineae. RNAcentral also lists the same sequence under 1 other name.
GCCCCUGUAGCUCAGAGGACCAGAGCAGUCGCCUUCUAAGCGAUUGGCCGGGGGUUCGAAUCCCUCCAGGGGCG